This 331-nucleotide long non-coding RNA is filed under the name Helianthus annuus (common sunflower). RNAcentral describes it as "sRNA HanXRQr2_Chr08g0333581". Lineage: Eukaryota; Viridiplantae; Streptophyta; Magnoliopsida; Asterales; Asteraceae. The record is from RNAcentral.
UUCUUUAACUGCAAGAGAAAACCAAUUUGCGCAAACUUCCAUGCUUUCAGGACUAUGUGCUCCAUCUAAAUAAAACACCAGAUCUCCUUGACUUUGAUUAUCACAAGCCCGGUCAGCAAUAAUCUGGGCCCGCCCUUGUAGACUUGCGGUUGUUAACCCUUUAAUAUAUGGCUCAGGCAAACGACUCUAUCUACAGGGUUGACUUUAGAGUGACCGGUCCGUUGAAGCCACGUAGAGCUUAACAUGAUAGCAAGUCCAGCAUUAACGUAUUGAUGCUCUCCUGCAAGCCCGAGAUGCAACCCAUUUAACAAAUUACCAUCCAACUGGUUUG